GGGCCCGCACAAGCGGUGGAGUAUGUGGUUUAAUUCGAUGCAACGCGAAGAACCUUACCAGGGUUUGACAUCCUGCGAAUCUCUUGGAAACGAGAGAGUGCCUUCGGGAGCGCAGUGACAGGUGGUGCAUGGCUGUCGUCAGCUCGUGUCGUGAGAUGUUGGGUUAAGUCCCGCAACGAGCGCAACCCACGUCUUUAGUUGCCAGCAUUUAGUUGGGCACUCUAGAGAGACCGCCGGUGAUAAACCGGAGGAAGGUGUGGAUGACGUCAAGUCAUCAUGCCCCUUACAUCCUGGGCUACACACGUACUACAAUGCUACGGACAAAGAGCAGCAAGUUCGCGAGGACAAGCAAAUCUCAAAAAGCUGUCUCAGUUCGGAUUGUUGUCUGCAACUCGACAACAUGAAGUCGGAAUCGCUAGUAAUCGCGUAUC
RNAcentral lists this ribosomal RNA (431 nucleotides) under uncultured bacterium. Its description in RNAcentral is "bacterial SSU rRNA". It matches the Rfam family "Bacterial small subunit ribosomal RNA", at positions 917 to 1350 of the family's 1533-position model. The record is from RNAcentral.